This is a non-coding RNA of Xylaria scruposa, 90 nucleotides long. NCBI's taxonomy places the organism in Eukaryota, Fungi, Ascomycota, Sordariomycetes, Xylariales, Xylariaceae. The record is from the annotation of a GenBank genome assembly.
AGUCGUAUGGUCUAAUGGUUAUGAUUUUCCGUUCACAGUGAUGUGUUCAAAGCCCCGGAAAGGUUCCGUGUUCGAUCCACGGUACGACUA